Molecule: non-coding RNA, 699 nt
Organism: Lepisosteus oculatus (spotted gar)
Lineage: Eukaryota; Metazoa; Chordata; Actinopteri; Semionotiformes; Lepisosteidae
Source: RefSeq, a predicted model, not a curated record
AAUACACCGGUAAAGUAAAAAUACAUGCCACUUUGACUUAAAUCUACUUUUAUGUGUUGUUUGCGGUGCGAAAAGCGAAUCUCUAUGCGCGUGUAUAGAACAUUAGUUCCUAGCUCGUGUCCGUUGUCUUUUUUUUUUUUUUGCGUGUGUAAUUGAACGGGUCUGUGAUUAAUAUGGUUCUACAGUGAUCCGCGUAGUAGCAGAUGUACUGGCGCAUGGACGAGACUCCGACGAAUCCGAGCAGGCUGGCGCGACCAGACCAGCGCAGCCGGCUCUCUCUCGCGGCCGCACGCUGUAGCCGCGCGGAGCGCCUCGCGUCACGUGGCCCCCUUUCCGACCGGGGUGUGGGCGUGUCCUACGGCAGAGGGUUUUCAUUCAUAAAUCCUUUUGGCUUGCUAAAUCAAAAUUAAGGUGUUCGGCGAAGGUUGGCAGCCCAUUGGUUUCUGUCUAAAUACCCCUGCAUGGACCACAUGAAUUACAAUUAGGAGGACUUCCCCACUGGCCUGGACCAUGAGCAAUGAUGUACCCGUCUGGAAAUACCUAACGGAGAACACUACGGACGUCCCGAAAGACACUGGGAAGCAGGACGGCUAUGUCCUCCUGCUGGUCCUCCUGUCCAUCUUCAUCGGGGGGACGCUGGUCCUGCUCUCCGGCCUGCUGGUCAUCUGUCGGCGGUGCUGUGAGGGAGACCGCCGCUAC